AAAGGAAUAGACGGGGGCCCGCACAAGCGGUGGAGCAUGUGGUUUAAUUCGACGCAACGCGAAGAACCUUACCGGGGUUUGACAUGCACGGGACAGGUGUGGAAACACACCCUCCCUUCGGGGUCCGUGCACAGGUGCUGCAUGGCUGUCGUCAGCUCGUGUCGUGAGAUGUUGGGUUAAGUCCCGCAACGAGCGCAACCCUUGUCAUUAGUUGCCAGCGAGUAAUGUCGGGCACUCUAGUGAGACUGCCGGUGGUAAGCCGGAGGAAGGUGGGGAUGACGUCAAGUCCUCAUGGCCCUUACAUCCCGGGCUACACACGUGCUACAAUGGACGAUACAAAGGGUUCCGAUGCCGCGAGGUGGAGGCAAUCCCAAAAAGUCGUUCUCAGUUCGGAUUACAGUCUGCAACUCGACUGUAUGAAGGUGGAAUCGCUAGUAAUCGCGAAUCAGCAGGUCGCGGUGAAUACGUUCCCGGGCCUUGUACACACCGCCCGU
This 494-nucleotide ribosomal RNA is filed under the name uncultured bacterium. RNAcentral describes it as "bacterial SSU rRNA". It matches the Rfam family "Bacterial small subunit ribosomal RNA", at positions 903 to 1397 of the family's 1533-position model. The record is from RNAcentral.